Molecule: non-coding RNA, 542 nt
Organism: Pelobates cultripes (western spadefoot toad)
Lineage: Eukaryota; Metazoa; Chordata; Amphibia; Anura; Pelobatidae
Source: the annotation of a GenBank genome assembly
CCAUGCAAUUGCUUGAAUGUAAUGGUCUUCAUAAAUUGAUCUGUCAAAAUUGUAUUUCAUAAUACGGAUGGAUAGAGCAGAAAAACAAGGUCCAAUUAGCAGCAUCUCUAGAGAGAGAUAGUAUGUAUGAGUCCCUGCCCACAUAUUUAUCUCAAUACAUAGGGGAUGGAAAGCAAUAAAAUGACCACGUGAAUUGUUACCAGGCAAAUCGAAGAGGGGCACAUCAUACAAUGUAUAUAAUGUAUAAUUCUAAAAACACUGAGCUAUUCUAUGCUGCACAUUAUUUCAAAGCACAUUAUCCUCAUCCUUAGAAGUUCAUUUUUAACUUUUGCUAACUUGACAGAAAGAUGAUGUGUAAGUGGUGUAGCCAUGGUACCGUAUAUUUUUACAGAUUUAUGUUUAAAAUUUCCGACUGAGGCUGGUAAAGAAAAUCAAUAGAUCAUGAUUCUACAGUGAAGCAACAAUCUGGUACUCAGACUGAACAUUAAAACUCUAUGGAUAUAAAUUCAAAAAAAAAAAAAAAGAUUGUAAAGAUCUGUAAA